CAUAAGUUAAACACAUUACGGUAAACAAGUCAAGUUUAUUCCCAAAAGAAAGUAACUAUAGUUUCGUUAGAACCGAUGUCCUACCUCCGGCUUCUUAGUUACCUGAGAAUACACAUUUUUAAAAUACGUCAACAAAAAUUAUUGGUGAGUUCCACAGGUUUUGACUUCGUGAGUUUUAUAAAAAUAUUUUUUUAUAAAACGUGGAAUGUUUAACAAAAUAAGUUGUGCGAAACAUGGUCAACAAUGUCACCGAUAUGCUUCGUGUGAGACCCGAUACUUGAAAUCCGACACAAGUAUCCAUGUAAAAAUAUUUAAGAUAAAAGUAAAUAUUAACAUAUUUUUGUGAAGCAAAAUAUUAAGUAUUUAUAUAAAUAAAUACUACCAAUCGGUUUAACAAUCUACAAACAAUAUUUAAACUACAUACUCCCUUUAUAAAACGUGAAAUGUUUAACAAAAUAAGUUGGGCAAAACAUGGUUAACAAUGUUACUGAGACUGGAUAUUUGAAAUCUAAUACGAGUAUCCAUGUUAAAAUACUUAUAAUAAAAGUAAAUAUUAACAAAUUUUUGUGGAGCAAAAUAUUAACUAUUUAUAUAAAUAAAUACUACCAAUCGUUUAACAAUCUACAAACAAUAUUUAAACUACAUUCUCUCUUUAUAAAAUAUGGAAUGUUUAACAAAAUAAGUUGGACAAAACAUGGUCAACAAUGUUUCUGAUAUGCUUCGUGUAAGACCCAGUACUUCAAAUCCAAUACGAGUUUCCAUGUUAAAAUACUUAUGAUAAAAUUAAAUAUUAACAUAUUUUUGUGAAGCAAAAUAUUUAGUGUUUGUAUAAAUAGACACUAACAAUAUGUUUAACAAUUUACAAACAAUAUUUAUACUACAUACACUCUUUAUAAAACAUGGAAUAUUUAACAAAAUAAGUUGGACAAAACAUGGUCAACAAUGUUUCCGAUAUUAUUCGUGUAAGACCCAGUACUUGAAAUCCAAUACGAGUAUCCAUGCUAACAUACUUAUGAUAAAAGUAAAUCUUAACAUAUUUUUGUGAAGCAAAAUAUUUAAUGUUUGUAUAAAUAGACACUAACAGUCGGUUUAAUAAUCUACAAACAAUAUUUAUACUACAUACAAACUCAUUAUAGUUUGUAUUAGUAUAUUUGUAUCCGGGAUGUUGUUAUAAUUCCCAAUUGUUUGUGUUUGAAGACUUUUGGUUGUAAUGCAUAAUAAUGUAAAGCUACGAAAAUUCUAUCGGGACAACGGUCGUAUGUGCCCCUAUACGAUCGGGACAAUGGUCGUAUGUGUCCCAAUACGAGUUUAAACAGUACAUCGACUGUAAGUGACCGUAUACAUGUUUAGACAGUACUCCGACUGUAGGUGACCAUAAUAAUUGUUUAGACAGUACUCCGACUAUAAGUGACCAACAAAGUUUAUACAGCACCCGAGUUGUGAGUGACAUCGACAUAGUUCAAAUCAUCUUAUGUUAUAAGGUUGUCAACAUGAUUAUAUUAGUAAUACUUGUUAUAAUUUACACUUUUGUAACUCUUAAAGUAUGUGUGAAUUAAACAAUGUCAUUAUUUGUGUAUUUCUCAUUUACCACAAAACUUUAUAUUUAUAUUUGAAAAACCAAACAACAAGGUUUAUCAAAAGGGCAAUUUUGUCCGUGUUUUUAGAAAAUCAUAGAAAAAUCAUCGUAAGUCAAAAUCAGGAUUAGUAAACUCUCAAAGUUUAUAAAAUGAGUCUACUUUGUCCAUAAUUUUUACCCUGACCUUAAGUGGUUCCUAACUAGAGUGAAAAUGUUCAUUUUUACAUACUGGUCCGAAAAUGUUCUGAAAUGAUAGGCAGUUUUGUAAAAAUCAUUAUAAAUUGUAGAAAAAUCAUAUGAACGCGUACAAGUAUUCCUUGAAAAGUUAUAAACCUGAAAUAUUACCAUAUUGUACAGUUUUGAAAUCCUUUAAGUUUAAGAAGGGCAAAAUUGUCCAUGAACAGACCAUAACUUUUCUAUGAAAAGCUGAAAUUUAAGUUUAGAUAUGUUUAGUUACAUAACUUGCAUUUUUAGUUAGCAAAGCCUUUAAAUCUUUCAAUUAUAAUUUGUUUAGUGUGUAUUCUCCUCCAAAACUUUUUAAAACAUAAAAGAGGGGCCGUAGAAAACUCACUUUUGUCGCGUAGAGUUAUUCGGGUUGAGAAUGGUUCGUGCGGUUUCCGGUUCCACUCAAGUUUGUGAUUCGAGUAUUCUUUUGGAUGUCUUAACACAUAAAGACAUAUAUUUACAUGUGUGUUAGACUUUUAUCAUGUCUUAAAUCAUUUAAAAUCAUUGGGUUUGAUGAUAAAAAGAAAGAGUAGAAAUCAAGAAUAUACCUAGCUUCAACUUGGAUCAAAAGUAUGUUGCCAAAAGGUGGUGGAAUAACACAAGCUUUUUGAGAGGUAAAGGUUAACUUUCUCAGGGGUUUUAAGUGUUUCAAAGUAGCUACAUAUGAUAUACUUUAAAUCUCGAAAAUUGGCUGAAAGAUGAAGAACUUUUGGGUGUUUGUUUGAUGCUCCAAAACAGCCAUUGUUUUGGCUAUGUUGUUGUCCCGAAAACUUCACAGCAAAAGGGUAAGAAAAAGAUAGUUUACUCACUGUUUUGAAUAUCUAAUUUUUAGUAGCAUAACAACUAACUUCCAUGAGUAUUUGGUGGUGAAAAUAUCAAGCAAAAGGAAGGUGUAGAUGGGUGAAAUGGUGGCUGAAACACCAAAGGACAGCAGCCCCUUUAAGGUUCACGGUUUUGAGGAGUUGGAAGGAAAUUUGUGUGGCUGAAAAUGGGAUGAACUUUGAAAGCAUUUCCAUGGAGU
This 2822-nucleotide long non-coding RNA is filed under the name Lactuca sativa (garden lettuce). Its description in RNAcentral is "long non-coding RNA (LSAT_LNC002122)". The record is from RNAcentral. Lineage: Eukaryota; Viridiplantae; Streptophyta; Magnoliopsida; Asterales; Asteraceae.